UACGGGAGGCAGCAGUGGGGAAUAUUGCACAAUGGGCGCAAGCCUGAUGCAGCCAUGCCGCGUGUAUGAAGAAGGCCUUCGGGUUGUAAAGUACUUUCAGUCGUGAGGAAGGUGUUAAGGUUAAUAACCUUAGCAAUUGACGUUAGCGACAGAAGAAGCACCGGCUAACUCCGUGCCAGCAGCCGCGGUAAUACGGAGGGUGCGAGCGUUAAUCGGAAUUACUGGGCGUAAAGGGCACGCAGGCGGUUAAUUAAGUUGGAUGUGAAAUCCCCGGGCUUAACCUGGGAAUGGCAUUCAAGACUGGUUAGCUAGAGUCUUGUAGAGGGGGUAGAAUUCCGAUGUGUAGCGGUGAAAUGCGUAGAGAUGUGGAGGAAUACCGGGUGGCGAAGGCGGCCCCUGGGACAAAGACUGACGCUCAUGUGCGAAAGCGUGGGGAGCGAAACAGGGAUUAGAUACC
This 457-nucleotide ribosomal RNA is filed under the name uncultured bacterium. Its description in RNAcentral is "bacterial SSU rRNA". It matches the Rfam family "Bacterial small subunit ribosomal RNA", at positions 340 to 786 of the family's 1533-position model. The record is from RNAcentral.